This 424-nucleotide ribosomal RNA is filed under the name uncultured bacterium. RNAcentral's name for it is "partial 16S ribosomal RNA". It matches the Rfam family "Bacterial small subunit ribosomal RNA", at positions 354 to 796 of the family's 1533-position model. The record is from RNAcentral.
GUGGGGAAUAUUGGGCAAUGGGGGAAACCCUGACCCAGCAACGCCGCGUGAAGGAAGAAGGUUUUCGGAUCGUAAACUUCUAUCCUUGGUGAAGAUAAUGACGGUAGCCAAGAAGGAAGCCCCGGCUAACUACGUGCCAGCAGCCGCGGUAAUACGUAGGGGGCAAGCGUUGUCCGGAAUGAUUGGGCGUAAAGGGCGCGUAGGCGGCCUGGUAAGUCUGGAGUGAAAGUCCUGCUUUUAAGGUGGGAAUUGCUUUGGAUACUGUCGGGCUUGAGUGCAGGAGAGGUAAGCGGAAUUCCCGGUGUAGCGGUGAAAUGCGUAGAGAUCGGGAGGAACACCAGUGGCGAAGGCGGCUUACUGGACUGUAACUGACGCUGAGGCGCGAAAGUGUGGGGAGCAAACAGGAUUAGAAACCGUGUAGUCC